This 476-nucleotide ribosomal RNA is filed under the name uncultured bacterium. RNAcentral's name for it is "bacterial SSU rRNA". It matches the Rfam family "Bacterial small subunit ribosomal RNA", at positions 21 to 507 of the family's 1533-position model. The record is from RNAcentral.
GGCUCAGGAUGAACGCUGGCGGCGUGCUUAACACAUGCAAGUCGAACGAAGACAUCUGAGUGCUUGCACUUGGAUGGACUGAGUGGCGGACGGGUGAGUAACGCGUGGGUAACCUGCCUUAUACAGGGGGAUAACAGUUGGAAACGACUGCUAAUACCGCAUAAGCGCACGGUAUCGCAUGAUACAGUGUGAAAAACUCCGGUGGUAUAAGAUGGACCCGCGUCUGAUUAGCUAGUUGGUGAGGUAACGGCCCACCAAGGCGACGAUCAGUAGCCGGCCUGAGAGGGUGAACGGCCACAUUGGGACUGAGACACGGCCCAAACUCCUACGGGAGGCAGCAGUGGGGAAUAUUGCACAAUGGGGGAAACCCUGAUGCAGCGACGCCGCGUGAGUGAUGAAGUAUUUCGGUAUGUAAAACUCUAUCAGCAGGGAAGAUAAUGACGGUACCUGACUAAGAAGCACCGGCUAAAUACGUG